RNAcentral lists this transfer RNA (87 nucleotides) under Candidatus Vogelbacteria bacterium CG10_big_fil_rev_8_21_14_0_10_45_14. RNAcentral's name for it is "tRNA-Ser". It matches the Rfam family "tRNA". From Rfam's summary of the family: Transfer RNA (tRNA) molecules are approximately 80 nucleotides in length. Their secondary structure includes four short double-helical elements and three loops (D, anti-codon, and T loops). The record is from RNAcentral. Lineage: Bacteria; Candidatus Vogeliibacteriota.
GGAGGGGUGGCAGAGCGGUCGAAUGCAGCAACCUGCUAAGUUGUUGAGCCUUAACGGGCUCCGAGGGUUCGAAUCCCUCCCCCUCCG